Hypanus sabinus (Atlantic stingray) is the source of this 3236-nucleotide long non-coding RNA. RefSeq lists it as uncharacterized. NCBI's taxonomy places the organism in Eukaryota, Metazoa, Chordata, Chondrichthyes, Myliobatiformes, Dasyatidae. The record is from RefSeq and is a predicted model, not a curated record. The transcript has 3 exons.
UGGGGCUCCCGCCCAGACACUCAUGCCGAGGUUGUUGAUGUCUGCACUGGUGACAGCUGAGUCGUCCUGAACUUCCCCGGCUGACCUUUGGCACAUUUCGCUUAGCUUGCGAGGCACGGUGCUCAGAAAGGGAGCGCACUUAACACAAUCACCCACGCUGGGGGCGGCUGGGAGAGUGGAGUCACAAGAGUUUGAAGAUACUGGAAUCUGGAGCAGCAAGCACUCUGCUGAAGGAACUUCAAUCAAGAUCUGUGGAAGGAAAGGAAUUAACAAGUUCCUUUGUACAAUUCCCGUUGUCCUUUGGGUAAUUAGUUUUCCUCCACAGAUGCUGCUCAACAUCAACACCCAAACAAGUUCACCUGGAAGGGCAUUGGAAAAUGUUUCCAAGUCAAUCACCGGUGUAGUGGAGGAGCAGCUGACCACACUGUUCACAUCAGACUGCUGGGGAGAGAGAGAGAAGGAUUAAAGGAUGUACUCUAAAUCUUGAUUAAGUGCAAUGUCCCAGAAUCUCUGGCCCACGUCCAAUCAAAGUGGUGCCAGAGCAUUCAGGAUGUUGAAGUGGAUCUCUGUAUCAGUUGCACAGGGUGGCCAUGGUGUGAACCUCUUUACAAUCCAGCCAACCACUCUGACAAUGCCCCCCCACCCCCUCUGUGUCACAGCCUGUAGUUCCCACACUGGCCUCAUCAGCCACUUCCGACCCACAGGAAUGCAAUAACACUCAGACCUGAAGGACUGCUUAAGAUCUAGAAGGAGGACACAACAGACCUUCUGUUUUGAAGAGUACUGUGCAAUAGUUUACAUGGAACAGAGACAUUGUUUCUGAAUAAAGACCGUAAAAAAUAGGAGAAGAAUGAGGCCAUUUGGCCCAUUGAGUCUGCUCCACCAUGGCUGAUCCAAUUUUCCUUCAUCACCUGCCUUCUCCCCAUGUCCCUUCAUGCCUUGACUAAACAAGAAUUUAUUAAUCUCUGCCUUAAAUAUACAUAAAGACUUGGGCUCCACAGCUGCCUGUGGCAACAAAUUCCACGGAUCUACCACACUCUGGUGAAAGAAAUUCCCUCUUCAUCUCCUUUGUAAAAGGAUGCCCCUCUAUUCUGAGACUGUGUCCUCGGUCCUAGACUUUCCCACGAGAUGAAACAUCCUCUCCACAUCUACUCUAUCAAGGCCUUUCACCAUUCGAUAGGUUUCAAUGAGGUCACCCCUAAUCCUUCAGAAUUCUAGCAAAUACAGGCCCGGAGCCAUCAAACACUUUUCAUACGACAAGCCAUUCAAUCCUGGAAUCAUUUUUGUGAACCUCCUUUGAAUUCUCUCCAGUUUCUGCACAUCCUUUGUAAGAUAGUGGGCCCAAAACUACUCACAAUACUCCAAGUGAGGCUUCACCAGUGCUUUAUAAAUUCUCAGUAUUACACCCUUGUUUUUAUAUUGUAGUCCUCUUGAAACAAAUGCUGAAAUUGCAUUUGCCAUCCUCACCACACACUCAACCUGCAAAUUAACAUUUCUGGAAUCCUGCACAAGGACUCCCAAAUCCGGGUGCACCUCAGUUUUUUGUAUUUUCUCUCCAUUUAGAAAAAUGUCAACCUCUUCAAUUUUUCUAGCAAACUGCAUGGCCAUAUACUUCCCAAUACUCUAUUCCAUCUACAAUUUCUUUUCCCAUUCUCUUAAUCUGUCUAAGUCCUUCUGUAGUCUCUCACUUCCUUAAAUCUACCUGCCCCUCCACCUAUCUUCAUAUCAUCUGCAAAUAAAUUAGGGUUAGGAGUUGGGCCAGUGUGUUUAUAUGUGGAAGAUUAAGAAUGUAUUAUUCGUUGUCUUUAAAGUUUCCUUUUUGAUUUCUCAACUAUAUUUUGUUUUCUGGUUUUCCAAUUUCAAAUCAAGAAUAACAGGAGCUAUAGGUUUGUCAGUAUAUGUAUUUCAACUUUGAAUAUAACUAUGCAUCCUUCAGGAGAAUUGACUAUAUCUGAAAUUUUGUUGGUAGCAAUUUCACCUCUGUAGCUGAGAAAUAUGGGUUCAAAUUUCACUUCAGAGACAAAAAUAUUCAGUAAUUUAGGCAGACAUUUCAGUGUUGUAAUGGGAGGUGCUAUAUUUUGGAUGAAAUGUCAAAUAAGGGCCUUUCCUCGAAAAGCAUUAUAUGGAUUUGGUGCCAGGUGGUUCUAGUUUUAUUGCUUCUCUAUUUCAUUGUACAAAUGAGUGGACUGCUCAGCGUGUUGAAUUAAUACUUGAAUGCAUGUCCACUUCUGUCAUUUUCUGAUCCCAUUUCAGAUUUACAGCAAACUUGUCCCUUUUCCCAAUCAUGAACGUAUUUCCAAUGCAUGCCCAAUUUUGCAGGUCCACUGUACUUCAGAAACAGAAUCAGGUUUAAUAUCGCUGGCAUUUAUCAUGAAAUUUGUUGUUUUGCAACAGCACUGCACUGCAAUAAUAAUAUUUUAAAAGCUACAGAUUACAAUUGUGUGUGUGUGUGCGCGCGCAUGCGCGCGCCUAUAAAAGCUGUUCAUCUCCCUUGGAAGCUUCAGUGGCUGAGAUGGAGAGACUACACGAACAACUGUUGCCCAGGUGCUUCACCAGUCACAGUUUUAUAGAAGAGUGGCAAAGAGAAAGCCACAGGAAAACAAACACAUGAAAUCUCAGCUAGAGUUUGCCAGAAGGCAUGUGGGAGACUCUAAAGUCAAUUGGAUGAAGGUUCUAUGGUCUGAUGAAACCAAAAUUGGGCUUUUUGGCCAUCAAACUAAAAGCUAUGUUUGGAGUAAGGCAAACUCCGCACAUCUUCAAGGACACCAUCCCUAUUGUGAAGCAUGGUGGUGGCUACAUCAUGCUGUGGGUUUGCUUCACUGUAGCAGGCCCUGGAAGGCUUGUGAAGGUAGAAGGUAAAAUGAAUGCAGCAAAAGACAGGGAAAUUCUGGAAGAAAACCUGAUGCAGUCUGCAAGAGAACUACAACUUAGGAGAUUUGUUCUAGCAAGACAAUGACCCCAAGCAUAAAGACAAAGCUACACAGUAAUGGCUUAAAAAACAACAAAGUUAAUGUCCUGGAGUGGCCGUGUUAGUCUAGACUUCAAUCUAAUUGAGAAUUUGUGGCUGGACUUGAAAAGGGCUGUUUACUCAUGAUCCCCAUACAAUUUGACAGAGCUUGAGCAGUUUUGUAAAGAAGAAUGAGGAAAAAUUGCAGUGUUCAGAUGUGCCAAGCUGAUAGAGACCCAUCCACACAAGGCUCUAAUUGCUCCAAAGAUGCAACUACUAAAUACUGACU